This 468-nucleotide ribosomal RNA is filed under the name uncultured bacterium. RNAcentral's name for it is "partial 16S ribosomal RNA". It matches the Rfam family "Bacterial small subunit ribosomal RNA", at positions 28 to 507 of the family's 1533-position model. The record is from RNAcentral.
GACGAACGCUGGCGGCGUGCUUAACACAUGCAAGUCGAACGGAAAGGCCCUGCUUUUGUGGGGUGCUCGAGUGGCGAACGGGUGAGUAACACGUGAGUAACCUGCCCUUGACUUUGGGAUAACUUCAGGAAACUGGGGCUAAUACCGGAUAGGAGCUCCUGCUGCAUGGUGGGGGUUGGAAAGUUUCGGCGGUUGGGGAUGGACUCGCGGCUUAUCAGCUUGUUGGUGGGGUAGUGGCUUACCAAGGCUUUGACGGGUAGCCGGCCUGAGAGGGUGACCGGACACAUUGGGACUGGGAUACGGCCCAGACUACUACGGGAGGCAGCAGUGGGGAAUAGUGCACAAUGGGAGGAAGCCUGAUGCAGCAACGCCGCGUGCGGGAUGACGGCCUGCGGGUUGUAAACCGCUUUCGCCUGUGACGAAGCGUGAGUGACGGUAAUGGGUAAAGAAGCACCGGCUAACUACGUG